UGUACGUGAUUAUCGUGUGCAUGUAAUCGUUUACAAAGAUGGUACCAAAAAUUAUUGUUAGCGUUCUGUACUAUAUACAUACGUGUCUUCUGAUAUAAAAUAUUUGAUCAUCGAGAAAUCAUUUGUUUUUUUCAAUGGCAAUGGUAAAAUGUUCCACAGUUGCAUGAUUAAACGUAUCCUUUCAAAAUACACACCAUGCGCAAAAUGUAUGUUUAUUCUUCGAGCGAUAUAUCUUUGACAAUCUCUGACUGAGAAAUAUGCGAUUUAAAAAUAUCGUAUCGAUGUUUGAUCGAAUUUCAAAAUAAGAGUAAUUAAUAACGCAACAUGACAAAGAUUUACGAGCAAAUAUUGAUCCAUAUAAAAGAGCAAGCCUUAUACUUGAGGAUUUUAAAACGAGUUCCGAAGUCAAAGUAGAAACGUGCAAAGACAAGAUGUUUGUCAAGUUAAUACUGAUCGUCUCAGCGAUGUUUAGCUUCGUUUGCGUACGAAGUAUCGAAAACGAUGUUCAGCAUUUAUCAUUGUUCUCCUCAAGUCGCUCCGAGUCUAUCACGGAUGCUGAAUCAGUCGUCACCGAUGGACGCUGCGCCCUUCCACCAACCACUCAAGCAAGUAUAAAUAUACCUUUUAAUCACAAAAUAAUGAAUUCGGAUGUGGCACGUCUCAAGAAAAGAACCCCAAGUCACAAGGAACAAGAUAAGCAACAAGAUUUACGACCAGGAUGUUGUGGAUAAACAAAUUAUUCGUCAUCGAUCAAUUCUUUCUCGUGAAUAUUUGUUUUGAAAGUAUUUACGUACAAAUUAUAGAUGCGCAUAUUAUGAAUACGUUUCCUCUUUUUGGCUUCUUCCACAGAUAAGAUAGUAAAUAAAAUAAAAUAAUGGCUGUCACGCCGCAUAAACAUAAUUAGGAAAUAUUUCUUUUUGUCAUUCCUAUUCGCCAAUACCACAAAUUUAACGGAUAUAAUAAGGGUAAAAUAAAAUAAUUCGUAUGGAAAACUUUUAUUAACAUUAUGUACGAGUACAUAAUGACUUAUACGCACUGCGAACGUCAAUUUAAUAACUCUUUAAGUUAUUUAACCCCAAAAUAUAAAUAUGCAGUAGACCAGUGCAAUAUAUUGCAUAUUACAUUGUAACUUGUAAAAUUGCUAAACCUUCAUCGCAGAAGAUAAGGAGAUAGAUAAAAAAAGAUCCAUUUUUAUUCUUGGCAUGUCUACGUAAGACGUGAUAUAUAAAGAAUGGAAUGCUACUGUGACAUAAACGACAUACUAUAAUCAAUGUUUAAGUAAAUGCAGUACUUGUUCAACAUUGUUUUUGUGCUACUAUAUGAAAAGAUGUUGUAAAAAUUUUUCGUAUCAAAUUUUGCGACGAUCACUUUUUUUUUCAUUACGUGUUACACCGGG
This is a long non-coding RNA of Apis florea (little honeybee), 1396 nucleotides long. RefSeq lists it as uncharacterized. The record is from RefSeq and is a predicted model, not a curated record. NCBI's taxonomy places the organism in Eukaryota, Metazoa, Arthropoda, Insecta, Hymenoptera, Apidae.